Molecule: long non-coding RNA, 4230 nt
Organism: Apodemus sylvaticus (European woodmouse)
Lineage: Eukaryota; Metazoa; Chordata; Mammalia; Rodentia; Muridae
Exons: 6
Source: RefSeq, a predicted model, not a curated record
AGGCGAAGCAGGAGGACCGCAGCGCGCGCAGCCGCAGCUGGGCAGACACUGCGGUGUUCGGGGAGCGUCCUGCGCAGUCCCGCACUGCAGCACUCACGCACUCAGCCUGCUAGGCGAGUCACCUCGGCUCUGCGCUCUUGGCCGCCCCUAAGGCCUCCAGUCUCCUUUAACCGGGAAAACCCAGGAACCGGGAAGCUAGGGAGCAGGCUUGAUCCUUCCACCCUCGAGAGCUGUGGACCUGCUGGACUACUCGAAAGGAGAUCGUUGGGUCCUCGGAAUGCUGACACGCGUCCUUCCAAGCUGAUAAGCCCAGGUCCCUAGGACCAGAUGCUAGGACUCCCGUGUGGCGCCUUGCUGUGGACCCCUUCUCAAGCGCUUGCUUCCCUGAAGGGCCUUUGCCGCAAGGCCCUCUUGACACCAAGAAGGCUGAUGACGCAGGUUCUGCGGCAGCCAACGCCCCUCCCCCCAUUCUCCGCACUCACUGGUGGGUGCCACCAGUAUCCCGCUUGGUGCAGAGGGGACAUGAGAGCUGUCUUUAUCCUGCCAGGAAGCAGCUGGACCACAGCGCUCCCAAGGAGCGUACUCUCCAACAUCAGUGUGGAAAGACCAGAGACCAUGACCGUCUCACCGUGAUCGCCUGCUGGGGCCUUAUCUAGGCUAUGGUGUCGGUAUCCAUGGGUGUCCAGGAAGGGCAAGGUCGCCCUUCGGGUCAUCGUUUCACCACCAAGGAGCACCUUUUUUACUUCGGUAGGUAUGUAGAGGGAAGGGCCUUGACUCUGCAGACUUGGGGACCAAAGUUAGAGACUAGCUAGUUCUGUCCCUCCCCUUAGAGCCACAGAAUGCCAUGUGGCACUGAGGUCCUUGCUCUCACAAAUAAGCACCCGGGAAACCAGCAAUAUUAAACACGCAGGGUUGUCUCUUCAAAGGGAGAGACAUAUAUCCUGUUUUCCUCCCAGAAGGCUGGGAGGGGAGGUGUUUAAUAUCCUGGCGAACUUUGUGCUAUCUGUAUGACCAAGGCCAUGCCAGAUCCUCCCCUAGAUAUGAUAACUUUAAGAUAUCUUAUAUAAUCAGUCAGCUAGGUGGUGGUGGUGCGUGCCUUUACUUCAGUAUUCUGGUGGCGAAGGCAGUGGAUCUCUGCAUUCUUCCCCUAAACCCUUAAGCUGUCAUAUGUAAUCAGUCACCUGGGUGGGGGUGGUACGUGCCUUUAUUUCCAGGACUUGGGUGGCAAAGGCAGGUGGAUCUCUGAGUUCGAGGCCAGCCUGGUCUACCGAGUGAGUCCAGGUCAGCCAGGACUACACAGAGAAACUUUCUGUCUCAAAAAACAAAAAGUAAAUAAAUAAACAAUUUUUAAAAAAGGUGUCCUGUGUAGUCAAUCAUCUUUAUGGAACAUGUCACAGGCACUUUAUAGAUGUCAUCAUGGCUUCAGCUUUAUUAUGUUAAAAACUACCUGGUAUCAGACUCUUGAAGUUUGAACCAACACUUAGCCGGGCGAUGGUGGCGCACGCCUUUAAUCCCAGCACUUGGGAGGCAGAGACAGGUGAAUCUUUGAGUUAGAGGCUGGCCUGGUCUACAGAGUGAGUCCAGGACAGCCAGGAUUACACAGAGAAACCCUGUCUCAAACAUAGAAUUAAGUAAAGUAAAAUAAAGUAAUAAAAACAUUUGAAUCAACACUGGCUACUGAGUCAUGUUGAGCCAGAUAGCCUUUUUUACCUUACUUGGAUUAUCACCCUGGCUGUUUGCGGUGCCUGCAGGGACCCCCACAAUGGCGGCCAACAUGAGGGGCUCCAGUCUUGGAGAAGGCUGCUUGGACUCCGUGGACUCCGCUGCUGGCGCUCGUCAGGGACCUUCUGGAGGAUGACCAGCCAGGAUUAUUCAGGGCUUUCAUUGUCUUGGUCACAGUGCUCCAUUGUCUUCAUUGUCUCUGUCUGUUCAGCCUUAGCAAAAUAAGCAAUUUUAUCUUGUCCUUUCCAUAAAAAAAAAAAAAAAUUGGACUUCAAGCCUUUUAGGCACCAAGAGACCAAACCCCACCCAGAUUUCUUUGUAUUUAUGAUUACUAAAACUUCAUGUCUUAAAGUUGUAUCUUUAUACAACAGAAAAAAGAUUUAAAUGGCAAUGUGAUCAAAAUGAACAUGGAUUUAAAAAAAAAAUAGGAGCAAAUUGGAACCAAGAAGGAAUAUUUCUUACAGAUAAUAUGGUGGCCAAGGACUGAAAAGCAGGAGUGUAGUCGAUAGGAGUUAGAUUAUUUGAAAGUUUUUCACCUAAAAUUAUUUUUAAUACAGCCUGAGAAUAUGUGCAAUGUAGUAAGAACUAGAACCUUCCAGAAAGUUCUUCCAUGGAAAUGUUAUACUUUGGUGCUGUUCACAUGUUUGUUUUGCUUGCAGUAUCAGCCGGACGUGUUCUUUGGUGCACUCAUGGGACAGCCCGUUGUCCCCCCACUUCGGGAUAGUCUGUGAUUGUUCCUCCGGUGCUUUGGGACCUCCUGUUAACCUGAUAGGAAAGUCUUCUUGAACUCAGACUUCAAAUUGCCUUAAAUUUUAAAGAUCCCAAAUCUUACAUAAAUAGGCUUAGGUUUAAAUCUUUCAAAGUUAAUAUGAAUUAAGUAGGUUUUGCUUGUGGUUUAGUUUUGAGCUUGCCCUUGGUCUGACAUAAAGGAGCAGACUCUUGACAAAGGAAGAAGUUAGGGUAGGCUCAAGAGCCCUGCCUUCUGUUCAAGGCUUAUGUUACACAGUAUCCUAAGUUUCUUGUACAUAUUAGUAGAGAGUGAUUCUCACACCAGCGUGACAUCUACACCUAGAGCGUUCUGUGUCUGGGGCCUUCUCUUCUGUCAGGUGUGUAGAGACCUGUGCUUCCUGUGCACUGCAGGCAUGCAUGAUGCCUCUCCCUAACUGGACAGCAGUAGAACACAGCCCCAGGUGUGGCAUAGGGCCUGGGGGCUCCAGGAAAAUACCAUUCUAUCAUACCUUCAGCUUUUUAAACAUUUCUUUCUAGGACUCCCAUUACAAUUAAAAAACUGAUAAUGGACUUGCUUUUACUAGCAAAUGCUUUAAAAAUGUUUUUGAAGUUUAUGGAAUAUUAAUCGUGUUACUAAACUCCCUUACAAUAGACAGUGUCAAACUAUUGUAAAACAACACAAUCAAAUACUUUAAUUACAAAUUUAAAUUCCCACAUCCUAUGCUACAUUUAGUUAGGCUAUCUUUAAAGUUUUUCAUUUUAAGAGAUAGUGCUUUUUCUGCUUCUAAAAGCAUUUUGCCCAAAGGAGACACUUCCUAGAGUACAUUUUUUUUUUUAAAAUAAAACAAAACAAAAUAAAAUAAAAACCCCAAACCUAGCAACUAAUCAAUGGGAAGUGCCCGAUGUCCUACCAUCGAGGCAAAGUUAUGUUUAUGUCUUGCAGAAAAUUAUUAAACGAGGUCCCCGGUGGCUCCUGCUGUGACACAUCGGACAAGGACUGCAUCCCAGAGACCACCAGACUGGCUGGCGAGGGGUUGAAGCUAGACGGCAAACCCACCAAGUGGAGACGUCCCAAGAGGAAGAGGAAGCCAGUAAUGUGGAGAGACUUUAACUGGUCUAACUAAGACUUUGGGGGAAACAAUGAGGACUUGAUCCUGCGGACCCCAAAAUGACUGUGUUACAUGUUGAUUCUCAGCCUAUCCGUGAAGAAUCCAAAUGCCUUUUGUCAGGAGGGCUAAAGGUCGUACCUGGAAUGGGACACAGUAGGAUGUUGUUCUGCUGUGCUAAUAAUUGUUUUUAUCCUUUGGGACCAGUUGUCUGGACAAAGACUAUAGAAACAUUUAGACACAUAAAUGAGUGGCAUUUUAAUUAGACUGAGCAGUUCAAAUGUAAUGAUACAGGUUUUAGCUUAAUGUAAUACUCUUUAGAAAGCUCUGAUGGAGGAAAUUAUAGUUAUAUGAUGUGAUGUAUAGAUUGUUCGGCUUGGACCAAGACCAGCUACUGAGUAGUGUUGAAUCGACUGCCUUCUUGCCUCCUGCAAAUCUUUAGUCUGCUGGCCUUGGUGGAGGAAGUAUGCCCCCGAGGGAGGGGAGGGCUUUGAGAGUCUCAACGCCUCGCCUUGCUUCCAAGUUAGUCCCUGCUCUAUGCUUGAUAUUCAAGGUGUGAUUUCUCAGUGUCAUGCCCCUGCCACCACACCUGCUGUGUGUUCUCAUGCCCUCCUGCCUUAAUGAACUCAUCUCUUCAGGAGCCACUUGCCAAAAUAAACAAUGUCUUCUUUAA